GUAGGUGGCAAGCGUUGUCCGGAAUUAUUGGGCGUAAAGCGCGCGCAGGCGGUUCUUUAAGUCUGAUGUGAAAGCCCACGGCUCAACCGUGGAGGGUCAUUGGAAACUGGAGAACUUGAGUACAGAAGAGGAAAGCGGAAUUCCACGUGUAGCGGUGAAAUGCGUAGAGAUGUGGAGGAACACCAGUGGCGAAGGCGGCUUUCUGGUCUGUAACUGACGCUGAGGCGCGAAAGCGUGGGGGAGCAAACAGGAUUAGAUACCCUGGUAGUCCACGCCGUAAACGAUGAGUGCUAAGUGUUAGGGGGUUUCCGCCCUUAGUGCUGCAGCUAACGCAUUAAGCACUCCGCCUGGGAGUACGGCCGCAAGGCUGA
This 371-nucleotide ribosomal RNA is filed under the name uncultured organism. RNAcentral's name for it is "partial 16S ribosomal RNA". It matches the Rfam family "Bacterial small subunit ribosomal RNA", at positions 527 to 897 of the family's 1533-position model. The record is from RNAcentral.